Molecule: ribosomal RNA, 433 nt
Filed under: uncultured bacterium
Lineage: Bacteria
Description: partial 16S ribosomal RNA
Rfam family: Bacterial small subunit ribosomal RNA
Source: RNAcentral
AACGAGCGCUGGCGGCAUGCCUAACACAUGCAAGUCGAACGAGACCUUCGGGUCUAGUGGCGCACGGGUGCGUAACACGUGGGAAUCUGCCCUUUGCUUCGGAAUAACAGUUAGAAAUGACUGCUAAUACCGGAUGAUGUCGAAAGACCAAAGAUUUAUCGGCAAAGGAUGAGCCCGCGUAGGAUUAGGUAGUUGGUGGGGUAAAGGCCUACCAAGCCGACGAUCCUUAGCUGGUCUGAGAGGAUGAUCAGCCACACUGGGACUGAGACACGGCCCAGACUCCUACGGGAAGCAGCAGUGGGGAAUAUUGGACAAUGGGCGAAAGCCUGAUCCAGCAAUGCCGCGUGAGUGAUGAAGGCCUUAGGGUUGUAAAGCUCUUUUACCAGGGAUGAUAAUGACAGUACCUGGAGAAUAAGCUCCGGCUAACUCCGUG